GGGAGAGAGGGAGGAAGGGAGAAAGGAAAGAAGGAAGGAAGGAAAAAAGGAAGGGAAAGAGGAAGGGAUAGAGGAAGGAAGGAAAGAAGGAAGGAAGGGCAAUUGGUACUAACUUCUUGUAGUGCCCAGGCACUCUUCCCCUAGUGGGCAGGGCAGAGAGACUGUGAAAGGUGGAGAUGAAGGAGAGUCAUCAUUUCACUCUUGAGAAAGGACGGAGCAGUCUGUGUGGAAGAGAUGAGAUCUGGGAUAAAUUGGAAAAGGUGUCAAAAAAUUAGGAGGGAAGAAAUAUUUCCAGCAAGUCUGCUACCACACUCCUCAAAUUCAACUAAGAGUGGUGAUUUAAUAUGGUCACAGGAUGGCUGCCUCAGCUCCAAACAGCAACAUCUGAAGGAGAAAGCUGCAGGCCCCGACUGGACGGCUUUGGCUAAGGAACCAACGCAGGUGGAGAAGGAGGCUGACGAUGGAGCCCAGGCACUCCAGCCUUGAAGGAGGAGAACCCGACCAACGAGAAACACAGCAGAGAGGGAAUGGUCAACCCCAGAGCACCGGCCACUUUGGGAAAAUGGACAUCUCCUCUCCUCUGGCUGAAGGAAAGUAAGAAGACAUGGUGUUGCCCCAGGCUGUGUAGCCCACAACAAUUUUCCAUCCAAAUGCAUGAGCCCGGGUUCCCGAUGAAGACUUGGCUUCUCCUGAGCCCGGGGGUCCUGGCUGCUCUGGUGCCAACCCCUGGGUGUCUUCGAGCUGCAGAGGGCUUGCCACGUGCAUCCUCCUCCCUCUGCCUGAGCCAUGAAGACCAGGCUGGACUAUGUUCCACAAAGACUUUUUCCCCUCAGGGGUCUCCUCCCAACAACACUUAACCAAGCUUUGUAUUCAACAAGGAACACAUUCCGCCUCCACCAAACCUCAUUGAAAACACAGAGGUGCAUGGAUAACCAUGGCCAAAUCAUAACUGGUAUGCGUGCUCAUGGUUUUCUUUGAAAAUCUAACUGUCUUUUAAAAAUCUUUCCCACAUGAAGAGCCACAAUAAAUGACAAAAACAAAUUAUAAGUUUAUAAGGAAAGUAUGCUAGUAAGUGUAAGCAAAUUAAAAGGAUGUCCCAUAGGGUGGUAACAACUGAUUCAGUGUUGUCAAAUGUUUUGGAUCCC
Molecule: long non-coding RNA, 1145 nt
Filed under: Pan troglodytes (chimpanzee)
Lineage: Eukaryota; Metazoa; Chordata; Mammalia; Primates; Hominidae
Description: long non-coding RNA NONPTRT004621
Source: RNAcentral